UGGUGAAUAUUGCACAAUGGAGGGAACUCUGAUGCAGCGACGCCGCGUGAACGAAGAAGGCUUUCGAGUCGUAAAGUUCUUUUAUAUGGGAAGAUAAUGACGGUACCAUAAGAAAAAGCCCCGGCUAACUACGUGCCAGCAGCCGCGGUAAUACGUAGGGGGCUAGCGUUGUCCGGAAUCACUGGGCGUAAAGGGUUCGCAGGCGGAAAUGCAAGUCAGGUGUAAAAGGCAGUAGCUUAACUACUGUAAGCAUUUGAAACUGCAUAUCUUGAGAAGAGUAGAGGUAAGUGGAAUUUUUAGUGUAGCGGUGAAAUGCGUAGAUAUUAAAAAGAAUACCGGUGGCGAAGGCGGCUUACUGGGCUCAUUCUGACGCUGAGGAACGAAAGCGUGGGUAGCAAACAGG
Molecule: ribosomal RNA, 403 nt
Filed under: bacterium
Lineage: Bacteria
Description: partial 16S ribosomal RNA
Rfam family: Bacterial small subunit ribosomal RNA
Source: RNAcentral